This 30-nucleotide ribosomal RNA is filed under the name Trametes versicolor. Its description in RNAcentral is "partial 28S ribosomal RNA". RNAcentral also lists the same sequence under 7 other names. The record is from RNAcentral. Lineage: Eukaryota; Fungi; Basidiomycota; Agaricomycetes; Polyporales; Polyporaceae.
GGUAGGACUACCCGCUGAACUUAAGCAUAU